UCUGCUUUGCAAGUGUGAGUGAGAAAAACAAAUGGAUUUAUCUUGCUAAGAAAUCAAACAAGAGUCAUUUCGCGACUUUUCCACCUAAAAUAUCAGAUAGUCCGUGACUGUGCCUGGGGUUUGGUGUGUAAAGUGUUGGGAAGGGUUUUACCGUGGAAAGGCGAAAAAAAAAAAUGAAUCGCACGUUGACAAUGGCUGAAAUUAGAAAACUUAUCACCUCAUGCCCUGAUUUUAAGCUUUUUAUCUUUUGUUGUCUUUUCCUAUUGAGUAUCAACUCAUUUCUGGCCAUCUACUUCACCAUACAGACACUCAAGCAGACUUACUGAGAGAGGCUUGUUGCUGCUCUAUAAACUACUAUAUAGACGAGAGGGAAACACCAUGGAAAAUUUCUAUACACCUAUAUAAUUUUAUGGAAGCUGUAGAAGAGAAAAAACGCCGUAUUGAAAAGGAAAAUGUUAAAAAAAAAGAAUAAGUUGGUAAUUUAAAUGGAAAGCAAUCGUUAAAAAAAGAAGUUAAAUUCUAAAAGUUAUGGA
Long non-coding RNA from Lutzomyia longipalpis, 533 nucleotides. RefSeq lists it as uncharacterized. NCBI's taxonomy places the organism in Eukaryota, Metazoa, Arthropoda, Insecta, Diptera, Psychodidae. The record is from RefSeq and is a predicted model, not a curated record. The transcript is spliced from 2 exons.